AGAAACUAUAACAAACAUAAUGCGUAUACUACAUGAUUAUGGUAAUCCUACAAAUCCAGUACCGUCGUCCAUUAGACCAAAACGAAGGUACCCAAAAAAUGAUAGGCACCUUUUGCAACAAGCUUGUCAUCGAACCAAACCGAAUCAUAAAUGUCAAUUCGUAGCUGACCCUAGUCCCGAGUCCAAAACACAGGUGUGUUCAAUGUCAGAGAAUAGAGGAGCUGGCUGUUCUAGGGAGAGUGAAACAUCUACUUAUGUGCCCAUAGAAGUUACCAGCCCAUCAACUGUGCCUCGUCGGUAGGUGCCUCUAUGUCAAGAAGAAGCAACAUGUGUAGAUGAUGAUAAUAUAGUGUGUACAAGAUCAGGCAGUCCAGCAGCCGGCUGUUCUAGGGAGCGUGAAACAUCUACUAGUGAAUCCAUAAGUGAAUGGCGACAAAACCGACUAACCGAUGAAAUGGCGGUGAACGCCACGAAAAGAGGUAUGCCGUACUAUGCAGGAAUAAUUGACCUGAUGAAUGGUCAUGAAAUUUAUGUAAAAUUUCCGCGAAGAUACGGCGAUAGAGUAUUCUUAUACGAGAGAAGCGAUUUACUACCAUUUACCACACAAUUCCCGGAUGGCAAAUUUAAACCAUUUAAAGCUAUACCUGCACAUAAAAAUACACGAUACAUACGUCAAACAUUACGGAACUAUGAACAAAAUGUAAUGAACUAUUUAAAUUCGAUAUUAUUUUAAAUAAAUUAAAAAUGGAAGAACCGUGCAAAAAAUAAUAAUUGUGCGAUCGAAAUGAGACUUGCACCAUUAGAUUACACUCGUACUCGGCUAUUAUCCCUGUUAAUUUUAUGCAAAAAUACAAAAAACCCUGUAGGCACCGAGCUGACGACUAUUAGAUGGCCGCGCACCGCGCAAUCACACGGUGUUUCAUGCAAAUCAAUUGCUUAAAAAUUAAUUUUGUUUUGUUUUGUUUAUUAUCAAUGAUUGAAAAUGAAGUUUUGAAUCGAAUUGUUAUGUCCGGACAAGUUGCUGAGUACAUUAAUAUAUUUCCAUUUCAUACUCAAGCUGUUGAGAGAGCCGUUAAGUUAGUAACCGAUGCAUCUACUGCGGUUUGUGGUGAAUCAGCAAGAGAUGGAUUUAUACGAGCUAGAAUUGAGUCGCGGGCUAUAAUGCCAUCAUUUAAUACAAAAAAAGAAUAUAAAUUGUUUAAAUUAUAAAAUUAUAUGAUGAGUAAAAUUCUAAUGAUAAGUAAC
This is a long non-coding RNA of Aphis gossypii (cotton aphid), 1245 nucleotides long. RefSeq lists it as uncharacterized. The record is from RefSeq and is a predicted model, not a curated record. The transcript is spliced from 4 exons. NCBI's taxonomy places the organism in Eukaryota, Metazoa, Arthropoda, Insecta, Hemiptera, Aphididae.